GGGUGCCCCCACAUUUGUGUCUGUGGUCACUUUUGUUGCUUGCAUGCUUUUGGGAAUCCCACUUGAAUCUGGGAAGAUCUUAUCUGCACUUGCAACGUUCAGAAUUCUUCAAGAGCCUAUUUAUAGUCUUCCGGAUACAAUUUCAAUGAUAGCACAAACUAAGGUAUCUCUUGAUAGAAUUGCAUCAUUCCUUCGUCUUGAUGACUUGCAGCCAGAUGUUAUAGAGAACAUCCCAAGAGGUAGUUCUGAUACAACAGUUGAGAUAGUCGAUGGGAAUUUCUCUUGGGAUUUAUCUUCCCCUAAUCCAACAUUGAAGGAUAUAAAUUUCAAAGUGAGCCGUGGUACAAGAGUUGCUGUUUGUGGUACCGUUGGCUCGGGCAAGUCGAGCUUACUUUCAUGCAUUCUGGGAGAAGUUCCAAAGAUAUCUGGGACUCUUAAGUUGUGUGGAACCAAGGCCUAUGUUUCUCAGUCACCAUGGAUACAGAGUGGAAAUAUAGAAGAAAACAUAUUGUUUGGUAAACAGAUGGACAAAGAAAGUUAUGACAGGGUUCUAGAAGCAUGUUCGUUAAAGAAGGACCUCGAAGUUCUAUCGUUUGGUGAUCAGACGGUUAUAGGGGAGAGGGGAAUCAAUUUAAGUGGAGGGCAGAAGCAAAGAAUACAAAUUGCACGUGCUGUAUACCAAGAUGCUGAUAUUUAUCUGUUUGAUGAUCCUUUUAGUGCCGUUGAUGCUCAUACAGGAUCCCACCUUUUUAAGGUAUUUCAUUUCUCUAUUCUAGUGUGAUUCCAUAUGUAAUAAACUGAAUCUUCAAAGUUAUUUGCAUCAUCGAACAAUUGACAUAUGCAUCAAUAAUAUUCUUUUGUUUGACACUUCAUUAUUAAUUUAUUUAAUUGACAAUUGCACUACAGGAAUGUUUGCUAGGCCUGUUGAGUUCGAAAACAGUAAUUUAUGUCACUCAUCAAGUGGAGUUCUUGCCGGCUGCUGAUCUUAUAUUGGUAAAAUAUCCACACAGCUUUUUUUAUGAAAUUCCAAUUUACAAUACGUGAUAUUAUCUACUUUGUAUAUGUCCACUCAAAGUCACUCCUUGUCAUCAGGUUAUGAAGGACGGAAGGAUUACUCAAGCUGGAAAGUUCAAUGAUAUUCUUAAUUCCGGAACUGAUUUUGAGGAACUUGUGGGAGCGCAUGAGGAAGCUUUGUCCGUGCUUAAUUCUGUAGAGGAAGGGCCUGCUGAAAAAAUAAGUGUGAGCAAAGAAGAAGGAAAUUCUGCUAGUACUAAUAGGGUUGUCCAAAAAGAAGAAAGCAGACAUGUUCAAAAUAGUAAAACAGAUGAUUUAGGUGAGCCAAAAGGGCAGAUUGUUCAAGAAGAAGAGAGAGAGAAGGGUAGAGUUGGGUUUUCAGUCUACUGGAAGUAUAUCACCACAGCGUACGGUGGAGCUCUAGUGCCUUUUAUAUUGCUUGGACAAAUUCUGUUUCAGAUCCUUCAAAUUGGAAGCAAUUACUGGAUGGCUUGGGCAACUCCCGUGUCUGAGGAUGCGAACCUGCUGUUACAAGCUCUACACUGAUAAUUGUGUACGUUGCUUUGGCUAUUGGAAGUUCUUUAUGUAUUCUCUUCAGAUCCGUGUUUCUUGCAACAGCUGGGUACAAAACAGCAACUAUACUCUUUAGUAAAAUGCACCAUAGCAUUUUCCGUGCUCCAAUGUCUUUCUUUGAUUCGACUCCAGGUGGACGAAUCCUAAACAGAGUAAGUGAAAUAUAUUUGUAAUAUCAUGCCUGAUUGGGUGGUUCAAAGCAAAAUAUAUUUCUAAAAUCAGUAGUUGAAUAAAUGUUGCUACAUAAUUUCUUGCAGGCUUCUACUGACCAAAAUGUAGUGGACAUGAACAUGCCGAAUCAACUUGGGGGCCUUGCAAACUCAAUGAUCCAGCUUUUGGGAAUUAUUGCAGUGAUGUCACAGGUUGCAUGGCAGGUUUUCUUCAUUUUUAUCCCCGUGGUUGCAAUCUGUAUCUGGUAUCAGGUAAUUCUUCUCACUUUGUUCGAAUGCUCCUAUCUUAUACGUUGUACUGAUACGUCAAUUUAUCACUGUCAACUUAUCACAUGAAUUCAACUGUCGAAAAUCCUUCGGUUUUAAUUCUUCGUUGUUCAUGCUCUAUUGAUGCUCUUUCUUCAUGCCUAUACAUGCCCAAACUUGGCUUCCUCUUUGACGGAAAAUUUUACUCCUGUUACAGCCAAGAAUAUACAAGAAUCAUGUUAAAAAAAUGCUCACAAAUUUAUAUUGAUGCAGCAAUACUACAUUCCUGCAGCAAGAGAACUAGCACGAUUGGUUGGAGUAUGCAAAGCUCCAGUGAUACAACAUUUUGCCGAAACAAUUUCAGGGUCAACGACUAUUAGAAGCUUCGACCAGGAAUCAAGAUUCAGGGAUACAAACAUGAAAUUAAACGAUAGUUUUGGUCGGCCUAAUUUCCAUACAGCAGCUGCAAUGGAAUGGCUAUGUUUUCGCUUGGAUAUGUUGUCAUCUAUCACAUUUGGAUUUUCCUUGAUUUUCUUGAUUUCUAUUCCAGCAGGGGUGAUUGAUCCAGGCAAGUGCUAUUCCUCAUUUGUUUUACUGAUUAUUCUUGAAAUAAUUGUUAAGCAAAUCUAUGAAUUCUCUCUAUUCUUAUCUGUUUUGGAUGUUUUACCCUAAAGGCCUUGCGGGAUUGGCUGUCACAUAUGGACUUAAUCUAAACAUGUUACAAGCUUGGUGUAUAUGGAAUCUUUGCAAUGUGGAGAACAGAAUAAUAUCAGUGGAGAGAUUAAUACAGUACACUAAUAUUCCCAGUGAGCCUCCUCUUGUAAUAGAAUCCAAUCAGCCAGAUCGUUCUUGGCCAUCACAUGGAGAAGUUGAUAUACGUGAUCUUCAGGUACUUCCUGUUCUGGUUUAUUUCUUCAUACGAUAUAGGAUCAGUCAUGUUUAUGACUGUUAUUUCAUGUUUAUGUAGGUCCGCUAUGCUCCACACAUGCCACUUGUGUUGCAAGGUCUCACAUGUACCUUUCCUGGGGGACUGAAAACUGGGAUUGUGGGGAGAACUGGCAGUGGCAAAUCAACUCUCAUACAGACCCUUUUCCGAAUUGUGGAUCCUUGUGCCGGCCAGAUUUUGAUAGAUGGUAUUGAUAUCUCUUCAAUUGGACUGCAUGAUUUGAGGUCUAGGCUGAGCAUUAUCCCUCAGGACCCAACCAUGUUUGAAGGGACUGUAAGAAGCAAUCUGGACCCGCUUGAAGUGUACACAGACAAACAAAUUUGGGAGGUGGGUUGAUUUUACAUUGAUGACAGGAAUUUUGUUCCCACUAAACAUAUUUCAGUUCUAAAUUGGUGUCACUCAUUAGCAUGUCUUUUAUUUGUUUUAGGCCCUCGAAAAGUGCCAACUUGGAGAUGAAGUUAGGAAAAAGGAAGGAAAGCUGGAUUCCACAGGUUUGUUCUUAAUUUAGAGGCUAUAUAGAUGCUCUCAAUUUCAUGCUAUGUCAUGGAAAUUAUUUGUGCUUAUGUUUCGAGAAUUGCUGCAGUUAGCGAGAACGGAGAGAACUGGAGUAUGGGUCAGAGACAGUUGGUCUGCCUUGGCCGUGUGCUCCUGAAGAAAAGUAAGGUUUUGGUGCUUGAUGAAGCUACCGCAUCGGUUGAUACGGCUACAGAUAAUCUGAUCCAGCAGACCCUUCGACAACACUUUACUGACUGCACAGUCAUUACUAUUGCGCAUCGUAUAACUUCUGUUCUUGACAGUGACAUGGUUCUGCUUCUAAGUCACGGUUAGUAUUGCCAUAUGAAUCCAUCCAACGUUCCUAAUGAUCCCCUUUGUUUUUACUUUUAACGUAUUUUUGAUCGUGUUGCAGGGCUUAUUGAGGAAUAUGAUUCUCCAGCAAGAUUGCUGGAAAACAAAUCAUCGUCCUUCGCUCAGCUCGUGGCAGAGUACACAACGAGGUCGAAUUCUAGUUACGAGUAGUUUGAAUGACAAUUAACAGUCCAAAUCUUCACUGUGCACUAGUCAACUGGGUAACUGUUUUGAUAAUGUCGAAAUAAUUGGUAAGUAUGGUCUUACUCGCGAGUACCGAACCAUCAGAAUCGGAUGAUCAAGCUGCAGCUUGCAAGUGUAUUUUUAUAUGCUAUAUUUUUUGUUACAAAUGUGUUAUGAUUAAGUACAUUAUUCAAGUAAUGGUAAUCUCAGAGUUAAUGUAGCUGUCAAACUUUGUGCUUCCAAUGAAAUCUAGAAUGUCUGGUUUUAAUUUACCAGCAUUCAGUUGUGGACGUGCUGUUUCAAUUAGGAUUGUGGAUUAAAUUUAUAUUAAAUGCCAAGUUGCGCAUAGGUUUUAAGAAAAAAAUUACAAAGUUCUAUUAAAUAUUUAAGGAUAAGCCACACAUUUUAUUGCAAGUGAGCUUCUGACUGAGGGGAUGUAUUCAACUUGGAGUUUAAAAGCUUUUAAGAGUAUAAGAGUAGAUAAAUUUAUAUGUACUCAAUCAAGAUUUCAAAUGAAUCUGUAGAAGUUCACAGGUAUUCAAUCAACAUUUUAAAAGAGUAUAAAACUUAACAAAAUUAGAGUGCAUUUUUUCAGGAUUUUAAAGUAGUUCAUAAAACUCCAAAUGUAUUCAAUUACAAUUGGAUUUUAAAGUAUUUUAAUGAUGAAGUAUUUUAAUGGAUUUAGAGGGAUUUUAUACUGUUUUUUUAUAUUGGCUUUGGGAAAUCAAACCUCAACCUCUAAGAUUUCUAAUGAUUUUAUCCAAAAUUCACAUGGAAUGUGUGGAACACCAUUAAACUCCAUGAAUUUAUAACUCUUUUAAACUUUUUCAAAUUCUCAAUUGAAUACGACAUGGGAGAUUACCAUCUUCUCCUCAAGCCUUUUUUUUUUUAGAAUAUUAUAAGGUCCCUUACACUCUGUUUGAAUGAGGAAAUUUAAGAUUACUAGGGAAUUUUAAAAUAACGGAAUUUGAUUUUCUAAAAUUUAUGAAUUUUCUUGUUUGGCUAACCUAAAAGAAUAACGGAAUUUAAAUUUAAAAUCUCACUAAUAGAAAUUUAGAAAUUACACCUAUUUACAUCGAAUUUAAACUUGGGAAUUGGAGGUCUCAAAUUCCAAGUUUUUUUUUCCACGUGGAAAUUCUAUAUUUCUAUAUUUGUGAAUCCAAACAAGGGAAUUGGUCCAUGUCAAAUUUAUAAAUUCUAACUUUUGUCAAAAUUCCAAGUCUAUUUCCCUCAUCCAAACAUAGUGUUAAAGUACAGGGUUAACUUUGAGGGUUUAACAUUUUAGAAGGUCCAUCUCGGUUUUGGAGUUGAUCAUUUUGAGUCUAUGGUUUUAGAAUGUCCUUUGGAGGAGUUUAGGGUUUAGGGCAUAGGUCUUCGGGUUUUAGCGGAGCCCAAAAUCCAGGAACUAGACCCUACGCCCGAAGCGAUUAACUACUGAAAUUUUUUCUUCUAACAAAAGUCUUAUGCAUGCAUGUUAGUCACAAUUCAUUGAGAAUGUUAAUUGGCUAUGGCCUUAUAACAAUAGAGUUGGACAUUCUUGUCAUUUUAACUAGCAAGUUAGUUUGACUUUUUAACUAGUAUCUAAACUAAAAUGUAUAGUAUUUUAACUAGUAUCUAACAAAAGUUCUUUUGAAUUUGGUAUUUAAACUAAAGUGCCCCUUAAAUUUAUUGGAAUGGUUGGAAUUUCGUCCAUAAAUGCCUGCUUGGUGGGUUUGAAAAGCCUCCACUAUGAGCAAACGUGGGUUAGGCAAGUUGGCUAGGGUAAUGUGCAUGCACAACUCCAAUUUGAUUCUCUCAUUUCCGUAAAUUAGAGAAAUUUAGAAAAUCCUCUGAGGUAGCGGUAACAUAGCUGAUAGAUUCAUAUGGCCAUUCUCAAAAUCUGGUGAGUUCUGUGUCAAACUAGGUAUCAUUGGGCUCAUUGUAGAGCUUUGUCUAAGGCUAGAUCCAACAAGCCAUGCUCGUCUCACAGUCUUAAUCCGGACAUAUGGCAUAGGAUUUGGGGCUGCAACACUUUCCCUAAAAUCAAGCUGUUUCUAUGGCGAUUGACCAUGCACUCCCCCACAUUUGAUUGCUUAUUUCGUAGGACGCUAAGCCCCAAUCCCUUGUGCCCUAUAUGCAAAAUGCACCCUGAAACUUCAACAUAUUUGAUCUUUCAGUGCCAAUGGGCUGAAAGAUGUGGUUUGGUAGAGAUCUGGCCUAUAGACCCAAUCUCACUUUCACCUUACCCCUUCAACGACAAGUUCACCCUUAUGAUUAAUUACUUAAAAGUAAAAAGCCAUUAUAAAUAAAUAGAAAAACAAAAUCAAAUUAAACAUUAGAAAACAAAAUAUAGCAAAGCCUUAUGCAUCUUCUUCUUCCCCUUCGAAUUUUUUUCCGACCACAAACAUUUAUCCCCACCAAUUAACAAUAACAUACAGUUUUUUGAAUGAUAUCAAUAAAACAUAGAACAAAACUGUUUUUCCAAAAGUGAAUUUUAUUCCCAUUUCCAGUUACAAACUUUGAUAAGGCAAGAAAAACAAUGGGAGGACUACGAAUCAAACUGAGUUGCAGUAGACUUCCGGUGAGAGGACUGUGAAUCGAAUUUAAGGUGAAAUGUUGACCCGCAUAGAGUUCCGGAGUUGAACUUUAUAUCUUUUCUAGGGUUGACUUGCCUCCAGUGAACUUAUCCCCAUCUUAGGAGUUUGUCAUGCUCGUCAGAGAGGCUGUGUCGUUGUCGGAGUUACUAGCUCGACCAACAUAGUGUUGGACUGAGUUAGUCCAACGUCACAAGAUCUGACAAGGAGAAGGGAUGUGCAAUUAGCACAUAUUCCCUUCGGAAAAAACGAUAACAAAUAGUUAGGUCGAGCUCCUUGUUUCAUGGUAAAGCGAUUUAAAUUUUUCAAAGUAAUAAGAUAUUAGAACAAAAUAAAUAAAGGUAUUGGAAAUCCUCCCUUUUUAUGUUCCUCUGGGAAAACCUGAGCGUUGCAAUAAAACUCUUAUUCCCAUCGUAUGGAGUUGGAUUCGUGAUUCUUCAAUCCGUCAUGAAGUAGUUGAGACAUCGUACUGGGUGCUGAGAGAAGCCUUGCGCUACGAAGCGUGCUUUGUAUCGCACUAUUUCAUUCUUCUCAUUACACUUCCUCACGAAAACCCACUUGUAACCAACGGGCUUCACGCGUGGUGGUGUAGGAACGAUAGGUCCAAAUACCUUACGUUUCGCGAGCGAAUCGAGUUUGACCUGGAUUGCUUGUUUCCAGUUUGACCAAUCGGUUCUACGUCGGCAUUCAUCGACAAAACGUGGUUCAAUGUCAUUACUAAGCAUGAUGUCAGCAGCUACUCAUUACGAGAAUACAUCGUCGACGAUCAUCUCAUUCAUAUUCCAAACCUCAUCCAAUACUGUGUUGUGGACCGAAAUCUCGCGAUUCUCGAGAGGCCGACAUGUUUCAUCUAAAGCAUCACCGUAAUCUAGAAUAACCUCAUACGUUGGAACGGAUAAGUGAGCGAUGGUCGGAUUCAAACUAGGGUCACUAGUUGGUGCCAUUUUCCUCUUCCGGGGUUGUGAAUCCUUUGAACCAAGGGGUCUGCCACGCUUCAGGGUCAAAUCAGAUGAUUUGCUAGCCCUAAUGUACCUUGCCGCGUGGAGGGUGUGGCCUCCCCACCUUCGGGGACGGUCCAGCCUUCCCAAGGGUGUUGUUGACAUACACAGGGUACAUAUAUCCUUAAAGGUGUGUUUGCAGCGGGUAUAUGUGAUCUUGUCACCUUUGAUAGAUCAUUAAAAGCAUCCGGCAUGCUUUGAGCAAUGCUCUGAAGAUCUAUAAUUCGACGCACCUCAGUUUUAGACUGGGAAGUGAGGGGAUCUAAAUGAGACAUAGUGGGAGCAUACCACGACAAUUCACAGUGUUCUACGGGAAUGUUAGCAUGCUUAUCUCCCCCUAACGACAAGAAGACUGUCUCAUCAAAGUGACAAUCCGCAAAACGUGCAGUAAAGAGAUCUCCUAUCAAGGGUUCUAAGUAGCGAACAAUUGAUGGCGAAUCAUAACCGACAUAGAUUCCCAUUUUUCUCUGAGGACCCAUUUUGGUACGUAGCGGCGGCGCUAUUGGCACAUAAAUGGUUCACCCAAACACCCGUAAAUAUGAGACGUCAAGCUAGUAUCCAGUAACCAACUGUAACGGUGAAUAUGGUUGGGUAGCGAUGGGCCUCAAGCGGACCAACAUAGUGUUGGAAAUGUGCCCUAAAACCAAUCAUAUGAUGAUACUUUAUAACAUUUCACAUGUUAAACUAAUCUAAUUUAAUAUCAAGAGCAAAGAUUAUUGUUUUAAGCCGUCUCAUAUAAAUGUUAUAUGCUUAAACGAUAAGUCCAAGGAAUAUGUAAUUAGGAGAAUGUAAUUUAAAGAAGUUAGAUUCAUGAGACCAUUCUCUUUCGUAUACAUAUCCUAAACGUUCCUGAUCAUAGGAUUACCAAUUAGGCAUUGACAGUCCGUUAAGAUCAGUACGUGUUGUGUCUUCUCUUAGGGAAAGUGACUGGUCUCGAGUCAUUGGUGUGAUUGACACCAAGACAAGCAUGUAGGUGCUCAAUAGAGAAUGAGUCCACUGAACACGAUCAACGAGGAGUUCUCAUACUCAUGUCACAUGAGAACUCAUGGUUGGGAUAAUGCAAAGUAGUCCUUUGACCUGAGGCAUCAUAGUUGUCUUGUGGUUAGGUCUUUGAUCUUUGACUAUGUCAAAGUCACUCUGUCAGAGGGUGUCCACGGCAUAGUUGGGGUUAAACCACUUAGGCAUGGAGGCAAGUGAAUGCGCAACAAGGGAUCUUUAACCUUCAAACCGUUUGAGGAAGAAUACUCUAUGAUAUGAUUAAGAAUCUCUGGCCAGAGUAUGAAUGAGAUUUAUGAAGUCGUUCCAAAUCACAUUCAAGGUAAUCAUAUAAGUAAAUGAAUCACAUUGGAUAGUAAACAUGAUUAAACUAUCAAACCAAACAAUGUGGUCAAGAGUAUUGUAUUAGAGAAAGACUGUAUUACAUUAUAAUCCUAAACUGAAUGGGUUCUCCACCUCUUCUGAUUAGCUUGGGUAACCAUGACAUACUGUUAGGUGUCACUCAUGGUUUGUGGAAGCCCUAAACAUGUAUAAUCACUAAGGGGGAGAAUUGAAAGUAAGUUUCAAUUCACAAUCGAUCGUUAAGAGUAACAAUCGCCCACUGCCUCGCUAAAAGGAACCUAAUGGAUCGUACACCGUGUAAGGUAGAGAUUGAAGAAACAACGGAGAUGAGUAAGGAUAAUUAAAUGGUUUAAUUAUUUAUGGCUAGGAUUAAUUAAUAUGUUAAUUAAUCAAACGAAUAAGUUCGUUAUAGACCUAGGGUUAGUUUUGGGCCACAGGGCCCAAUGGGAGUUGAAUGUCAAGCCCAUUAACUCAAGUUGUAUGACAACUUGAAUAAACAAAGGGCUUGAAAGCCCAAUAAACCCUUAAGGCCGGCCAAAUAGAGGAGGGUAGUGAACUUGCUUUAAUUGCAAGUUUGCCACUCCAUUAUGAGGUGGUAUAAAGUCAACUUUAUAGCCAUUUCAUCCUUAGGGUUUCUUUUAGAGAAAAUAUGAGAACACAAUGCUCUCAUUUUCUCUUUAAGAGGCCGGCCCCCUUAGAGGAGAUUAGCUAGCAAUCUCUCAUCCUCCAAGGUCACUCAUCUCUUCUUCAAAUCCCUCCUUGGUGUGGAAAAAUUAGAGGUUCUCAAUUUUGGGAACUUGUAGAAUCCUUUCUACCAUCAUCCUUCAAGAAAUCGAUGGAACUAAGAAGCAAGGAAUGAAGGCCCUCUCCUUGGGUGAUUAGCCAUGCUUAUGCAAAGAGGAAUCAACAAAGGUAUAAAAUAUCUCAACUCAAUAUGUUCUUGAGUUGAGUCUUGGUUCAUCUUUCUACUAGGCUUUGAAUUUCAUGGGUAAUGUUUUGUUUUUGAGUGCAUACAAGUAUGAUUCCACCUUUAAAUGUUAAUUGCAUGCAAUAGAUGUUGCUCAAAUGAACAUGUUUUUCACAAAAUUUCCUUCACAUAGUUGCGUGCAAUAUUGCAUAGCCCCAGGCAGAUACAAGCAGUUUGGUUCACAUAACCAAAGUCCCAACUAUCAAUUGAAGGCAUUUUAUGAAAGCUUCUGUCAGGUCGUUUUGGGUGUGAACAUGGGGUACAGGAUGUUCCACAUUUAUCCCUAUUGACAUGCAAUAAUCGUCAAAAGUCUGUGACGUAAACUCUCCAGCAUUAUCCAGUCGAAUCGACUUGAUUGGAUAAUCAGGGUGGUGAGCCCUUAGCUUAAUGAUUUAAGCUAGGAGUUUAGCAAACGCAGCAUUGCGUGUGGACAACAAGCAAACAUAUGACCAUUUUGUCGAUGCAUCAACCAACACAAUAAAUUAUCUAAAUGGUCCGCAAGUUGGUUGGAUUGGUCCACAAAUGUCCACUUGAAUCCUCUAAAGAAAUUUAGGGGGGUCAUGAAUAAUUUAUAUAUAAGGGUUGAGUAUUCAACUUCCCUAAAGAACACACUUUGCAUGGUGGGAGUCCAACAUAGGGAUGUAAGGAUACGGUGCAUCAUGUCACGUCCAUGAUGUCCCAAAUGAUCAUGCCAAAGCAAUAAAAUGUCCGAGAACUCAAGCAUAGGGCCGGCCACACUGUGGGCUUCUAUGCCGCGAAUGGUUGUGAUGUACAACCCACUCGGCAAGUGUUCUAACUUCUCGUGAAUAUGCUUAUGGCCAUAUUCAUACGAAGUGAUACAAAGAAAUUCAGAACCAUGAUCUUCAGUGGUUUCAAGAUGAUAUUGAUUAUCUCGAAUGUCUUUAAAACUCAGCAACAUUCUUCCGGAACGUGGAGAAUAGAGUGUCUCCUUAAUGAUCAGAAUUAUACCAUUAGACAACAUGAUAGGUGCAUUUCCGUAUCCUUCAAUCAGGUUGGAUGAGCCUGAGAGAGUCAUCAAAUGAGCUUUCUUGGGUAUGAAGUUAGUAAAAUAGUGGCGUUCACACAAGAUAGUGUGCGUGAUUGCACUAUCUGCCAAACAAUUAACUUCCCCACUAGACAUACCUAGAAAUAAAUUGAUUGAAUUGGUCGCAUGUAUAAAUAUAUGUCCUUUCAUUCAAUUACGCCAUUCGAGAAAAUAAUAUUCAAAUAAUAAUCCAUAAUUCAAAACAAACCAAAACCAAACAAAUUAUUCCAAAUACUAAGAAAAAUUGUUCAAAAUUAAACCAUAAACCUAGCAAAAUAGGGGGUAGGGCCGGCCACUCCUAGUGGGUUCGGCCACUAGGGGUAAACACCCUAAAUACAUGUCUAUUUUAGUCAUCCAUAGGCGCUGACGCCUCCUGGAAAUUUGAUAUCUCCAAUGAUGUAGUUGCAUCUUCCGGAUAAGCCACAUGUGCAAAGUUAGACUCACGACGGGAAUGAUACUUGGAAAUAGCCUCAGGGGAAGCUCGGCAUACGCGUGAUUAAUGAUCCCUUGAUCCACAGCGAUAGCAGUUGUCCAGUUCAGUAGAAGUAGCCUGAACGGGAGCUUUUCCCUUGUUCUUGAAGUUUGGGACCUUGGGGCAAAUGGUGGACGCUGCUAGGUCGCAAUUCUUCCCUUAGGUGCGGCACUCUGUUGACCUUAGGCCCAUGGUUGGGCUUGCCGCCCAUUGCCACGACCACGACGGCUUUUUUGUCAUUUAUGGCUGAUAGAAUAGGUCGCAUGCGCUUCGGGCGCGGUGUUGGAGCCAGUAGGUCGAGCUUGAUGAUUCUUCAUCAAAAGCUGGUUCUACUUUUCAGAUAAAAGUAAAACAGAGAUCAAAUCCGAAAACUUGGUGAAUUUUUGUGCCCUAUAUUAUUGCUGCAGGACAAUAUUGGUGGCAUGGAAGGUCGAAUAGGUAUUCUCCAGGAGAUCUGAUUAGGUUAGUUCCACUUUGCAGAAUUUCAACAGAGAAUGGAUUCUACAAACUUCAGAGUUUUAUUCAUUCACGGACUUAAAGUCCUGGAAGCGAAGAUGCUGCUAGUCGUAUCUUGCUUUAGGCAAGUAUAUGUCUUUCUGAUGAUCGAAACGGUCGACCAGAGCAAGCCAAAGGGUGCGUAGGUCCUCCUUAAUGAGAUACUCAAUCUGCAGUGCAUCAUGAAUGUGUCUUCAGAUGAAGAUCAUUCCAGUAGUCUUCUGAGCUUCGUCAACAGGUUUGUCGGCGAUAGAUGUCUUGAUGGUGGCUCUAAUACCCUUUACAGUGAGAUGGAACUUCAUGUCUUGAACCCACUUCAGAUAGUUUCUUCCAGAGACUUCUAAAGCGGAGUAUCGAGCUUGUUCAAGCUCAACAUGUCCCUAAAACGGAGGGAGAAAACGUGAUUAGUUAUAUGGUAAGCCAUUGACAUAUAUCGUAGAACAUACAGGUUCUUUAGACAUGUAUUGGUUUAAUUUAUGCAUGAAAACUACGAGUUUCAUGUGGUAUGUUUUGAAUGAAAACUUCAGGUUUCAAAUGCACUAAAUUUGAAACUACAAGUUCAAUUUAGUUUUAUGAACAAUUAGUUCAUAAUGAGAGGUUCUUGCAAGAAACACAUAAUGCAAUAUACUAACUAAGUGUAGUGGAUUUGAGUUGUCUUCGGGAACUCAAGUGUGAGAGCUUCAUUACUACGAAAGUAUGUGACAAUUCAAAGUAUAAAAAUAAAUUAUUGAAUCGUUAAUGUCUAAAAGUGAACUUCAGAUCAAUAAUUUUGGAUUCAUUAUCAUAUUAAUGGAUUGCAGGUCACUUUUAAUUAAUUCAAUAAAUCGGGCCAUACAAGGUUGAUUAUAGAAGCAAAAUAAUAUUAUUGGAUCGAGAAUAUAGCCCUAAAAUAAUUUUGGGCUUGGUGUCGUGGGUUAAGAGGCAUGGGUUUGGGUGCCUUAAGCAUAAGGCAAGGCCCAAAGGUCAUCGGGUUGGCUACAGGAAAACAGCUCAUGGUGGCUGCAGGCCACGGGCCUGGGUGGAAAAAAACAGAAAGAAACCCAAGCUGCAGGUUAGGUCGAGGGAAGGCACGAGGGAAGGCCAAGCAAGGGCUGGCCUAUAGGUUGUCAUGGUAAGCCCUAGCCGCAUGCGGACCGGGGAAUGACAAAGGUGUAAUGGCAAAUGGGUAGUGAGAACUAGACCCAAGUAACUGGACUUGGCGUCUGGUAAGCAGGCUGCAGGCCUGGGCAGUUUGCACAGUGAUGGUGCGGUGGUGUGCUGCACCAUGCCCUAUUUCAUCAUUUUUUUUUUUAAUCCCAUAGGGUUUAGGAAAAACCCUAAAUAUGCUUCUAAUUUAAUUUUGUACUUUGACUCACAAAUUCCACAUAACAAUUUAAUUGUGCGAUGCAUGAAACAAUUAUAUAUAUUGACAAAAAUAUGAGCAUAUACAAUAUAUAUAUAUAUAUAUAUAUAUAUAUAUAUAUAUAUCGAAAGGAAAAUAUAAACAUAGAGGGGUUCAUGCAUCAUGGGGAAUGUUUUUAUGCUUCGUGGACAUUUCAAAUAUCUUCUUUUAUUUUAAGCGUACCUGAUUAGCAGAAAACAAAUAAGCCUUUGAAUUUGGUGGAUGAUAGCCUCAUCCAACGAUGUGUCAAUUCCUUAGCUUCUGGUAAGAACGUGCUGAUAACGUGUUGUAUGCCUAUUUGAUUGAAUGAUCUAGGGUUUAGAGAGAGAGAGGGGCCCGACCACUAUUAGAGAGAAGAGAGAUUGAUUUAAUUGUGAGGUGUGUUUGAUUCACCCCAUUGUGCCUUUAUUUAUAGUAGUAGGAAGGGUAAAACCUUUCCCUUUAGGAUUACAACAUUUAAUAGGUAAUCUAAAUCCUAAUAGGGAUAUAAGAUACAUACCCAGAUUCCCUAGGAUUUACACAAUCACAUUUCUAUUCUAAAUAUGACUGCAACAUUUAUUACCUUUGUUGAUGCACGAAAUCACUAAGGACUUUGGUACAACAAAAAGUGUCAAGUUUGUGACCUUCGCUAGAUUGCUCCAAUCACUAGUGUAGAUAAGUAUGUAAAUGGAUAGAGACAGGAAAGUAAACACAAGAUGUGGUUCACCCAAAUUGGCUACAUCCACGGAGUAGAGGAGUUCUCAUUAAUUGUGAAGGGUUUACACAAGUACAUAGGUUCAAGCUCUCCUUUAGUGAGUACUAGUGAAUGAUUUAGUACAAAUGACAUUAGGAAAUAUUGUGGGAGAAUGAUCUCCUUUUAUAGAAGAGAGUUUCUAGCUUUGUUCUGAAAUUGACACGUGUCGUGUUGUGAUUGGUUCUGAUGUUGACACAUGUCGCGCUAUGAUUGGAUUUUGAUGUUGACACAUGUCAUGCUGUGAUUGGCCUAUUGGUUGGAAGGAAACUCUUCUAGGUCCUUGAUAGUAUAACGUUGACUGGUGCUCGGUAGUUUCGAGAUUGGUCAAGUAUGGUACAAACAGUGCUCCCCUAAGUUCCUAAGUGAGGGAAGCUCCUCGGUUUGGGACUUGCAAGAUCCAAGCCGCUGAGUAAUCAUGAAACUUCUAAGUAUCGAAGUGUGGUAUCGUCUUCACUUGCCUUAUCUGUCGUAUAGAUAGAUGUGGCAUCUUCUCUGGAAGUACUCUUCCUUCAUCCAGGGGUGGUAUCUUUAACCCGUGGAGAUGCACAAGGUAAUGUAUCAAUUUUCACUUGAAGCUUACUUAUAGUUUUAGGCUUGGUCAAGCGCAAUACAAACCAUGUAGUAGGAGUCCCCCAAGUCGCCGAGCUAGGAGAUCUGCCGAAAGAGGUGACAGACAAGGUAAGCAAUCAAAGCUCCAAGCAAUCAGUCCCAGAUCAGAAGUUUGAUUUUGAGUUCCGGCUAAUUGUUCUCAUUCUCCCUAUCUUACAGGCAGCAGGAAGGAUAAAGAGAAGAAAAAUGAGAAGAGAUGAUAUGAGAUACUUUUGCUUUUGAAGAAGUAACUUUCCAUAGGCUUAUUCUUGAAUUGGGCUGGAAAGUUUUCUAGUUUCCUCCAGAGUAUAAGGCCGACUCAAGAAUUUGAUGGUCAAAACAAGUCCAUCAAAUCAAGAGUUCAUUCAACCUUGGUGAUAUGGGAUACUUUUUCUGUUGACAAAGUAGUGGAAGUGGUAUGGCGAGGCUUUGCUCUUUGGUGACGUUGUUAGCGAAAUGUUGUUGAAGUUUCUUGAGCUCUUCGGAUAGGGUAGGAAGCCGAGCUUGGAUUUGACUUAGACUUCUCUGUAUGGAUUAUGCGGUUCUGCAGUGAGGGCGUCGUGCUAUAGUGAUAUGUUCUAGCUCAUCGUUGAACCUUCUGCUUCAAUCUUUUGCAUCGCAGAAGUGGUGCGCACCUUUUGCAUUUGAAUGGUCUUUCAGAGCAUUACUUCUCAAUGACUCAUCCAUGCUUGGCAGCUUUAAUAAAGAGCCAAUAUCGUAUCAGCUGUUCUGAAGUAUAUGCCGAAAGGAUUCGUGACCUUGACAACAGUUGAGGAUGAGUACUCGAGAGCAAUGAUAGGUAAGCAACCAGGCAAAGGUUCCGGGCAAUCAGUUCCAAAUUGGAAGUUUGAUUUCAGGUUCCGACUGAUUACUUUCUUUCUCCUUGUCUUGCAGGUAAGAGCAAUGCAAAGGAAAAGACAGGGAAAAAGCAUGAUAUGGGAUACUCUUACUUUUAACCCUGAUGAUAUGAGAUACUCUUGCUCUGGUGUAGCUUGUUUGCAGAGAUAUUAUCGGGGGAAAGGAAGCUAAGUAUUUUGAGAGGCUUCGUUGGGAGUGCCCUCUCAGAUAUAAGGAAUAGUUAAGCAUUUUUGCAGGUCUGCCUGUCCGUAAAGGGUGGAGGUAGACAUAUAUAGGAAUUUCCCCAACAACAAGUAGUAAUGUUAUUCAUUUACCCUUCUUGGUUAUAACAAUAUAUUAGGAGCUACAAGCUUCACGUGUUUUAACUUUGUCAAAGCACUUUGAAAAAGUAUUCUGAGGUAUCUGGAAAGCUGAUGUUGCGUGUGAAGAUUGUAGACAAAUUUUAUCCAAGGAAAUCUGGCUCUCAAAGUUCGGAGAGCGAUGCCUCUUCGGCUUUCGAAUAAGCAAUCCUGUUGGGGAUCUGGCUCUCGAGAUUCGGAGAGCAUUGCCUCUUCGAUUUUUGAACAAGCAAUCCUAUUGGGGAUCUGGUUCUCGAGAUUUAGAGAGUGGUGCCUUUUUGAUUUUUGAGAAAGCAAUCAUGUUGUAAGUCUAGCUUUCGAGAUUUGGAUAGCGGUGCCUCUUCGAUUUUUGAGAAAGCAAUCCUGGUGGGAGUUUGGCUCUCGAGAUUCGGAGAGCGGUGCCUCUUCAAUUUUUGAGAAAGCAAUCCUGGUGGGAGUUUGGCUCUCAAGAUUCGGAUAGCGGUGCCUCUUUGAUUUUUGAGCAAGUAAUCCUGGUGGGAGUCUGGCUCUCGAGAUUCGGAAAGCGAUGCCUCUUCGAUUUUUGAGAAAGCGAUCAUGUUGGGAGUGUUUUCUCGAUGUGAGUAAAGGUUGGGUAUUUUUGCCAGUCUACCUUGCCACGGAGCACGGAGGUUGACACACAUAGGGACUUUCCAGUUAUCAAACAGUGAUGCUGUUCUUUUACCCUUGUGGGUAAUGGUAGGGUAGCUGGACCUUCAAAAUUUAUGUGUCUAAACUUUGUCAGAGAUAUUUGGCAAAGUUAUCUGUGGUACUCGAGGAGCUGAUGUUGCAUGUGGGGAUUGUCGACAUAUUUUACUCAGGAAAAUCUGCUUCUCAAAAUCCGGAGAGUGGUGCCUCUUCGAUUUUUGAACAAAUAGCCCUACUGCCCUCUCUUUUAUAGGGGCACCAAUUGUGUGCAAGAAGUAUAUUCAGAGAGUUAUUGCUUGUAGGAAUUUUUCCACUUAUUUUCGUACUUCAGAGAUUUAUUGGACCUCAUUUCUCCUUCAUCAUUUCUAAAAAUGUCUGGCUCAUCUGACCGUCCUUAUGGCUUGAACUUUGGUAAAGAGGCAGCCAUGCCUCCUCAAGACAACAUAUAGUGCACAUCCUUCUUAUCCCCUACUGGUUCUCUUACCGUUGGGGACUCUAUGAUGAAGAAUGAUAUGACCGCUGCGGUGGUGGCCAGGAACUUUCUCACUCCCAAAGAUAACAGACUACUUUCCAAACGGUCUGAUGAGUUGGCUGUUAAGGAUUCUCUGGCUCUCAGUGUUCAGUGUGCAGGUUCUGUGUCUAAUAUGGCCCAACACCUAUUUGCUCAAACCUGCCAAGUUGAAUCAUUGGCGGCUGAAGUGAUAAGUCUCAAACAGGAGAUCAGAGGGCUCAAGCAUGAGAAUAAACAGUUGCACAGGCUCGCACAUGACUAUGCUACAAACAUGAAGAGGAAGCUUGCACUACUACAAUAUAGGCUAUCACUGGCGGACCAAAAACCGACAAGAAACCCCGAUUUCUGUCGGAAAUUUGGCAAAAAUCCGACAUUAAACACUGCAAUGUCGGAUUGGAAUAGCGACGCCAUUGCUACCGUCACUAAAGGGCUUCAGCGUCGCUUUGUUCGCUUAAUCCGCCACUACGCAGCGUCGGUUUAAAGCGAUGCUGAUGUUAACGUUGGUUUAAAGCGACGCUAGUUAACAAUUAACUAAAUAAAAUAUGCAAACUAGUGACGGUUUAAAGCGACGUUAGAGAACAAUUAAAUAAAUAAAAUAUGCAAACUAGUGACGGUUUAAAGCGACACCACCUUUGAUAAUAAUAAUUAAAAAAAAAGUCGAAAUCUGUUUCUGUAUUCGUUCUCAAAUAAUUAUAACUCAAAAAAAUUAUAUAAUCGAAAUAAUAAAUUUCAAUUUUAGGCCAAAACAAACAAUAAUAAAAAUAAUUCAAAAGAAAAAAUAGUGCCAUAAUAUACAAAUGUUUUACAUCUAACAUUCCAUAUAAUUUACAAAAAUUCAUCCUCCAUGCUUUCCUGUGCUUGCCUUUGUCGAAGACCACAGAUUUUGUAGCUCCAUAGUGCCAUAUAUAAUACUAGCAACUCCAUACUGCAAUGCUUGCCAUCAGAUCAGUGCUCCAAUACUUUACUACUUCAACAUUAGGGCUCUAAUCUCUAUAGAUUAAACUCAGGUUUUAUACCUUUAAAAAAUUAUGGAUCUGCGAUUUCCAGUGUCCUUGCUCUUCAGAUCCAACAUGCAUAAAUACAAAAAAAAAAAACAAUUAAAAACCAAGAAACAAAAAUAAAUUUUCAAUUUAAGCAUAAAACUAUUUAGAAUACAAAAUAGAAACUAAAAUUAAUAAUCAUAAUAAUUUAAAAAUGAACCACCUUCAAGAUCUUCCUCCUCGAAUUGGAGUUCUUCAAAAUGUUGAUCUUUAAACUAGUGAUCCAAAGCAAACAGGGAAGGAGUUGAGGAAAAACUAAAAAGGAGGAAGAAGGGGACGCACAUAUGAAAUGGGGAAGGAGAAGAAGAAAUUCUGAAAUUCGGGGAGAAAUGAAAGCACGGUUGAAAUGGGAAAGAGAAGGGUUUAAAUAUGGGUACUUAGUUUGCGUCCGUUAAAACCGACGCAAACGUCUGACACAUUUUUUGAAAUUCACAUAGCGUCGCUUUAAUGAAACUCGCGUCGCUUUAAUCAAACUCACGUCGCUUUAAACCGACACAAACUUCUGACACUUUUUGAAAUUCACAUAGCGUCGCUUUAAUGAAAAUUGCGUCGCUUUAAUGAAACUAGCGUCGCUUUAAUGAAACUAGCGUCGCUUUUAACCGACGCCAACUUCUGACACACUUUUUGAAAUUCACAUAGCGUCACUUUAAUGACACUAGCGUCGGUUAAAACCGACACUAAGUCCUCCAUCCAUUCAAACAAGCGGGAAAUUUCCCGCCUAAUAUUUCAAAUACUAUAAUUUUAUAUAUAUUAAUUUUAUAACCCUAAAAAAUACUAUAAUAAUUAUAUAUAUUAAUGUCACAAUUUUAUACCCCUAAAAACUAUAAUAAUUAUAUAUAUAUAUAUUAAAUUAAAUUUUAAAAAUUGGUGACCAUUGGAUCAGUUUAAAUAUACAUACCAUUCAAUUUCUUUAAGUGUUAUACAUACAAAAUAAAUAAAUUUAAAUCUACUUAAUAAAUAUAUAUAUACUUUCAUUAAGUAUAACAUAAGAUUUUGUGGUAUCCACUUGUGUGAAUAUUUUAAUUUGAAGAUCGAAUUCAUUCAUUAUAUUCAUAUUGGGUCAAUGAGUGUAACUGUAAAAAAUCAUCAAAAUCGGAGUUAAAAUAACCGUUAAAUCGUGAUUUUUCGUUUAUAACCGUCGAAAAGUUUUGUCUCGUUACUUGAUCUUUGAAUGUUUGUUUUUUGUGAUUUUUUGCUGAUGUGAUCUCGAAGCAUAUGCAAACAAGUUUGACGGUUGGGAUCGUUGAAAUUAGUUUCGGAGAAUUCGUAUCACAUCAAAACAAUAGAUUGACUAACAUUUAGAGUUUAUUUAUACUUUCAUUAAGUAUAACAUAAGAUUUUGUGGUAUCCACUUGUGUAAAUAUUUUAAAUUGAAGAUCGAAUUCAUUCAUUCUAUUCAUAUUGGGUCAAGGAAUGUAGCUGUAAAAAAUCAUCAAAAUCGGAGUUAAAAUAACCGUUAAAUCGUGAUUUUUCGUUUAUAACCGUCGAAAAGCUUUGUCCCGUUACUUGAUCUCUGAAUGUUUGUUUUUUGUGAUUUUUUGCUGAUGUGAUCUCAAAGCAUAUGCAAACAAGUUUGACGGUUGGGAUCGUUGAAAUUAGUUUCGGAGAAUUCGUAUCCCAUCAAAACAAUAGAUUGACUAACACUUAGAAUUUAUUUAUACUUUCAUUAAGUAUAACAUAAGAUUUUGUGGUAUCUACUUGUGUAAAUAUUUUAAUUUGAAGAUCGAAUUCAUUCAUUCUAUUCAUAUAGGGUCAAGGAGUGUAGCUGUAAAAAAUCAUCAAAAUCGGAGUUAAAAUAACCGUUAAAUCGUGAUUUUUCGUUUAUAACCGUCGAAAAGCUUUGUCCUGUUACUUGAUAUCUGAAUGUUUGUUUUUUGUGAAUUUUUUGCUGAUGUGAUCUCGAAGCAUAUGCAAACAAGUUUGACGGUUGGGAUCGUUGAAAUUAGUUUCGGAGAAUUCGUAUCCCAUCAAAACAAUAGAUUGACUAACACUUAGAGUUUAUUUAUACUUUCAUUAAGUAUAACAUAAGAUUUUAUAGUAUCCACUUGUGUAAAUAUUUUAAAUUGAAGAUCGAAUUCAUUCAUUCUAUUCAUAUAGGGUCAAGGAAUGUAGCUGUAAAAAAUCAUCAAAAUCGAAGUUAAAAUAACCGUUAAAUCGUGAUUUUUCGUUUAUAACCGUCGAAAAGCUUUGUCCCGUUACUUGAUCUCUGAAUGUUUUUUUUUUGUGAUUUUUUGCUGAUGUGAUAUCGAAGCAUAUGCAAACAAGUUUGAUGAUUGGGAUCGUUGAAAUUAGUUUCGGAGAAUUUGUAUCCCAUCAAAACAAUAGAUUGACUAACACUUAGAGUUUAUUUAUACUUUCAUUAAGUAUAACAUAAGAUUUUGUGGUAUCCACUUGUGUAAAUAUUUUAAUUUGAAGAUCGAAUCCAUUCAUUGUAUUCAUAUAGGGUCAAGGAGUGUAGCUGUAAAAAAUCAUCAAAAUCGAAGUUAAAAUAACCGUUAAAUCGUGAUUUUUCGUUUAUAACUGUCAAAAUUAGUUUCAUAGAAUUCGUAUCCAAUCAAGUUCAAUGGUGUGUAUAUAUAUAUUAAGUAGAUUUAAAUUUAUUUAUUUUGUAUGUAUAACACUUAAGAAAUUGAAUCGUAUGUAUAUUUAAGCCAAUCCAAUGAUCACCAAUUUUUUAAAAUUUAAUUUAAUAUAUAUAUAUAUAAUUAUUAUAGUUUUUAGGGAUAUAAAAUUUAAUUUAAUAUAUAUAUAAUUUAAUAUAUAUAUAUAUAUAUACACACUUUAUGUCGCUUAAAAGCGACACUAGUAUUUAAAAAUUAUUAAAAUAAUGUUUACGUCGGUUUAAAAGCGACACUAGUAUUUAAAAAUUAUUAAAAUAUAUGUUUACGUCGGUUUAAAAGCGACAUAAACAUUUAAUAACGCUUAUAAGCGACAGUAAAUCCGACGUCAUGUUCAGUUAGUGUCGCAACUGCCCAAUCCGCCACUAUAUUAGAUUAAAGCGACACCACCCUCCGACACUAUAGCCCCCUUUUGUAGUAGUGUUGACCAGAUGCAGGAAUUUGAUGGUCAGAUUUUACUUGAUCAUCAGAGGUUUGUGGGUUCGUUCCAAAGGAAUUUAUUGCCUUCAUCUUCUGUGGCUGUACCACGUAAUGAAGCUCCAAAUGAUUAACCUAUGAUGCCUCAUCCUUCUGGAGUUCUGUCCAGUACUGAGGCUCCGAAUGAUCACCCUCCGAUGCUUUCUCUUUCUAGGGCUCUGCCGACUGCUGAGACUUCUCCUGAGCAACCUUUGUUAAGGCUCCCUCUUGUUUGUUUAUUUUGAGUUAUGUAUAUGUACAUAUUUGUAACUUAUCGGAGAUAUCAAUAAAUAAGUUUUGCUUCAUUUCAACGUAUUGUGUUAAAUACACCAAAAGCCUUCUUCACUAAGUUCGUUGAAUUUUUUCUUUUGUUGAAGCUUUGUGAGUGAAGCAUGUAGGUUGAGGUAGUGCUCCCUUAAUUUCCCGAGUGAGGAAAACUUCCAAGUAUCAAGGUGCAGUAGCAUAUGGUAGGAGUCCCCCAAGUCUCUGGUCGAAGGAGUUGAAGAAUGAGGUGUCUUGCUAGUAGCCAAGUUUCCAAAGUAACAAAACUUCACCAUUUUCCUUUCUAAGUGGUAGCCCAAAACUCCUCCUUCAUAUAUAUUUGUUAUGAAAGUUGUUAGGCCCAAAGAAAAGAAGGCCUAGGCAUUUUUUUUUUUUUUUGAAUUUUUGAAUUUUCGAAUUUUCGAAAAAAAAAUAUAUAUAUAUAUAUAUAUAUUAUAUAUUUUUAAGCUUUUUGGUGAAGUUUUGGUGUUGAAGCUUUGUAAGUGAAGCUUUGAGGUUGAAGCUUUGUUGGGUACCAUGAAUUGAUUUUGCUUCACACUAUCUUGAUCAAGAGUGUGUGAAGCUUUUGUAGGUGAAGCUUCUGUGUUGAAGCUUUGUAGGUAAAGCUUUUGUAGGUGAAGCUUUUGUGUUGAAGUUUUUAUGGAUGAAGCUUUUAGGUUGAAUCUUUGUAGGUGAAGCUUUAGAGUUAAAGCUUUUGUAGGUGAAGCUUUGGAGUUGAAGCUUUUGUAGGUGAAGCUUUGUAGAUGAACCUUUUGUGUUGAAGCCUUGUAGGUGAAGCUUUGGAGUUGAAGCUUUUGUAGGUGAAGCUUUGGAGUUGAAGCUUUGUAGGUGAAGCUUUUGUGUUGAAGCUUUGUAGAUGAAGCUUUGGAUUUGAAGCUUUUGUAGGUGAAGCUUUGGAGUUGAAGCUUUUGUAGUUGAAGCUUUUGUGUUGAAGCUUUGUAGGUAAAGCUUUGGAGUUGAAGCUUUGUAAGUGAAGAUUUUGUGUUGAAGCUUUGUAGGUGAAGCUUUUGUUGGCACCAUAAAUUGGUUUUGCUUCACAAUGUCUUGAUCAAGAGUGUGUGAAGUUUUUAAGAAUUGUAGUUGCCCUCCAUUGAUGAAGCUUUUGUUGGCACCAUAUAUUGGUUUUACUUCACACUGUCUUGAUCAAGAGUGUGUGAAACUUUUGAGAAUUGUAGUUGCCCUCCAUUGAUGAAGCUUUUGUUGGCACCAUAAAUUGGUUUUUCUUCACACUGUUUUGAUCAAGAGUGUGUGAAGCUUUUGAGAAUUGUAGUUGCCCUCCAUUGAUAAAGCUCUUGUUGGCACCAUAAAUUGGUUUUGCUUUACACUGUCUUGAUCAAAAGUAUGUGAAGCUUUUGAGAAUUGUAGUUGCCUUCCAUUGAUAAAGUUGUUGUUAGCAACAUAAAUUGGUUUUGCUUCUCACAUUCUUAAUCAAGAGUGUGUGAAGCUUUUGAGAAUUGUAGUUGCCCUCCAUUGAUGAAGCUUUUAUUGGCACCAUAAAUUGGUUUUGCUUCACACUGUGUUGAUCAAUAAUGUGUGAAGCUUUUGAGAAUUAUGGUUAAACUCUUUUGAUGAAGCUCUUGUUGGCAUCAUAAAUUGGUUUGGCUUCACACUAUCUUGAUCAAGAGUGUGUGAAGCUUUUGAGAAUUGUGGUUGCCCUCCAUUUGUUGAAGCUUUUGUUGGUGAAGCUUUUGUGGUGUAGCUUUGUAGGUGAAACUUUGAGGUUGAAGCUUUAUUAGGUACCAUGAAUUGAUUUUGCUUCACACUAUCUUGAUCAAGAGUUUGUGAAGCUUUUGCCAUUUGUAGUUGCCCUGCACUUGUUGAAGUUGUUGAAUUUCCCAAUUUCCAUUUUUCUUUUUUUUUCUUUCUUUAUUUUUUUAUUUAUUUAUUUUUUUUGUGAAAACUAGAAAUUUUAAAAUGUGCGAGAGACAACAUAUACAAACUUUGCUUCCUCAUUGUUGAGCAAGAGAUUGUACUGCAAGCCAUAACUUGUAGUGGUCGAAGGUUUGGAUGAACCAUAUAAAUUAAAUUUGCUUCGAGCAGUCUUGAUCAAAAGUGUGUAAAGCUUUCUACGAGUUGUAGUAUUUGCAUUGUUACAGAUGAGAAAUAUCUGAAGCAGAUGCAAAAGGGCUGAAGAGCUUGAUCUUCGUAUACCAUGCACUGAAGCCGUUGUUGGCUUGCAAUAAGACUUUGUCGGUGACUAUAACUCUUAUUAGGCAUAAGUGCUCCCUUAGUUGAGUUGUAAAGCUUGAGAGAGUUUUUUAUUAUUUGUGAAUGCUAAAGGUUCACAUGUACAAGUUGUACCACUCGUCUUCUGGUUGGUGGAAUGAAUGGUGAGUUGCUUUCAUCACUUGGUUGGUGGUACGAAGGUCACUUCCUUCAUCAGCUUUCAUCACAUUUCAUCACCUGGUUGGUGGCACGAAGAUGAGUUCUUUCUUCAAAUUUCAUCACCUAGUUGGUGGAAUGAAGGAGAGUACGAGUUAUACAUUUCAUCACCUGGUUGAUGGCAUGAAGAUGAGUUCCUUCUUCACCUAGUUGGUGAUAAGAGUGGCAAGUUGCCAAAUAAUAUUAGAGUACGGGUUGUACAUUUCAUCACCUGGUUGGUGGCAUGAAUGAGAGUACAAGUUGUACAUUUUAUCACCUGGUUAGUGGCAUAAAGAUGAGUUCCUUCUUCAUAUUUCAUCACCUGGUUGGUGGCAUGAAGGAGAGUACGGGUUGUACAUUUCAUCACCUGGUUGGUGGCAUGAAGAUGAGUUCCUUCUUCAAAUUUCAUCACCUAGUUGGUGGCAUGAAAAAGAGUAUGGGUUGUACAUUUCAUCACCUGGUUGGUGGCAUGAAGAUGAGUUCCUUCAUCACCUAGUUGGUGAGAAUAAGGGCAAGGUGCCGAGGCACAUUGUAGCAAGUGUCGAAUGACACAAAGUGUGUUAAACCCUUUCGAAGCAUAAUUGGCUUAUGUAUGGAUGUGUUGGAAUGUAUGACGUUUAUGUAUGAAUGUGUUGGAAUGUAUGAUGUUUAUGUUGAUUAACAUGAGUGAUACUUAUGAAUGUUUUGCUAUUCAUGAAGGGAUCCAUGCUUUCGAUAUGUGAACCAUAUUGGUUGUAACACUUAGUAUCACAUACUUUGUGUCAAAGUAUGCAUGUUGAAGCUCUGAGUUGGAGUAUAGAGGUAGGUCAGUGUAAACCAAGUGGUCCAGUGCUAGGAAUGCAAAAAACUCAUAAAAAGUUAUCUGAAUUCCCUCUUCUUUAAAUAUUUGCCGAAUGACUUAUGUGACAAAAGAUCUCAAGCGGUUGACGGUCAAAACAUUUGUAAUGUGUAUGCCUUCUUAUAAUAGCAUCUCCUUCAGUACCUAGUCCUUCAUGAAAGAGUGAGGCUUGGCCCCUAGCCAUAAUAGUCGAUUGUACGGUCACCCUUGGUUGUCUUGAUACGAACUUUGAUCCCUAUUAUUGUAAUGGGCUUGCUGAGAGUAAAAAUUCUUCCUCUUACCAAGAGACAAAUAUGUUUGGUGACUCAGCGAGUAGCUAAAUGAGGCAAGAGAUAAUGCAAUGGGUUUCUGAAUGGCCAAGAUCUCCUCACUUGGUAGAACUUGACUUCCACUUCCCACUUGUUGAUAGGAGUUACCAUAUGGGGGUUCCCUUGGUAUGUCCUUGCUUCGGCGGAGGCGUGGUUGUAAAAAUGUGCCAUCACUUCAGAGUAAGUCUUCCAAGUGUUGGCAUUGAUCAUGUACUUGAAAAAACAAUCACGUAGGCUUGUCGUGAAGGUUUGAGGGCGGUCUUGUCAUCUGCCUCAGCGCAGCGAGAAUACUCAUGGCUGAAGCGACCGGCAUACUAUCGUACUGACUCAUCCAUCUUCUGGCGAAUAGUGUACAAGUCAUCUGCAGAAUGUAAGCGAUCAGUCUGGAAGAUGUGUUGAGAGACAAACAGUUUCCUUAGUUCCUCAAAUGAGUCUACUGUCUCGAGUAGAAGACGACAAUACAAGUUUAGUGCUCCACAUAGAGGGUGGAAGAGAAGAGAAGACAUCGCUCUUUGUCGGUGUGCAUCCGAUAUGCCGUGGUGGACUCAAAGAGGUUAAGGUGUUCAAUCGGGUCCUCCCUUCCAGUAUAGAGUUGUAAACCAAGCUUUUGUAUUGUCUUCGCUUGAAAGGGGUGUUAAGGAUCCUUCUUAUUAGAGGGCCAGGCCGGGGUCGGUUCCAGUCAGGUAUCUCGGCCUAACGUUCGGCCUUUAACUUGUUUACUUCCUCAAUGAGUUGUAGGACAAGAGUGUCUUGAGUGAAGUCAUGUACCACUAGAAUUGUCUUCCAUAAGUCUCCACUGCCUUUUGGAAGUAGGAAAGUUUGAGCAAGAGUGUGUGGUUUUUCCUUGGACUUUCCGUACUAACUUCUAGGGCUGGUAUGUGAGAAUACCUCUAAGUCCCCUGUACCUUCAUGUUCUUCUAGGACCUGUCGUUCAUUCCCUAGAUUGGCAGCUGGCCUGGGUCGUGGGAGGGGACCGAGUCUUUUAUAAACCCUUGGGUCAUUCAUCUUCAAGCUGAUGUGGAGGGGAUUCUCUCGACGUUGCUUUAGGAAGUUUUGGCAAUCACAAUAAACGACUUUCGAUUCUUCUAACCCUUCUGCAAGGAGGUGUCUUCCUCCACUUCUACUGCUUUGAGUCGAAGCAGCUGGGUUGAGAGAAGUCUUAUGUUAAUCAAUGUUUUAAUGAUUAGCUCGCUCCUCAUCAGGGAUACCCAUGUCGAAUGAAGGUGACCCUCCGUGUUGAGGGGCACCCAAAUGAUGGUUGAUGUCCACACUGGCAACAAGCUCGUGUGUUUGAGUACGCCUACUUUUGUGAAGCGUCUCGAAGAGCUUCUCAUAUUGUUCUUGAAGGAUCUCAUUCUUUAUUGCUAUCUUGUUGUUCUGAGCCUCCAACUCCUUCACUUUAGCUUGAAGAACCACACUAGCAACAAGCUCGUGUGUUUAAGUACGCCUACUUUUGUGAAGCGUCUCGAAGAGCUUCUCAUAUUGUUCUUGAAGAAUCUCAUUCUUUAUUGCUAUCUUGUUGUUCUGAGCCUCAAACUCCUCAACUUUAGCUUGAAGAAUGAGCUUAUUUCGUUGCUUCACACUAGGUGCGAAGGGGGUGUCAUUCUGUGUGCUGUGGCUUCCUUCACUCCCUAUGUUGGAGAGGGAUGCCUGGUCAAAAGAGAGUGUACCAAUGGUGGAAACCAGCCUGACAAAGCAAAAGAGAGUGGGAAUAAGUAUCGUUCCCACUGACGGCGCCAAAUAUUGAUGCACGAAAUAAGUGAAGACUUUGGUACAACAGAAAUGUCAAGUUUAUGACAUUAGCUAGAUUGCUCUGGUCACUAGUGUGGAUAAGUAUGUAAAUGGAUAGAGACAGGGAAGUAAACACAAGAUGUACGUGGUUCACCCAGAUUAGCUACGUCUACGGAGUAGAGGAGUUCUCAUUAAUUGUGAAGGGUUUACACAAGUGCAUAGGUUCAAGCUCUCCUUUAGUGAGUACUAGUGAAUGAUUUUGUACUAAUGACAUUAGGAAAUAUUGUGGGAGAAUGAUCUCCUUUUAUAGAAGAGAGUUUCUAGCUUUGUUCUGAAAUUGACACGUGCCGUGUUGUGAUUGGCUUCUAAUGUUAACACGUGUCGCGCUAUGAUUGGCUUCUGAUGUCGACACGUGUCGCGCUGUGAUUGGCCUCCUGGUUGGAGGGAAACUCUUCUAGGUCCUUGACGGUAUAACGUUGACCGAUGCUCGGUAGUUUCGGGAUUGAUCAAGCAUGGUACAAACAACCUUAUAUAUAAUUUUAUUAUUUUUAGGCUAAAAGUAAAAAAUGGUAAAUUAAUACAUAAUUAGGUUUCUCCUACUCCCCAUGCUUUUUACCCUAUUCGUUCAAAACAAAACAAAACAAAAAAAAAAAAAAAAAAAAAAAAAAAAAAAAAAAAAACCCUUUACCCUAUUCCCUAAAGCUGUGUUGCUUUCCCAAGGAAAGAAAAACUAUGAAUAACCAUCAAAUUAUUUUCUAAUAAAAUUCAACACUAGGUAUGUUCUUCAUCUCUUCAUUUAACUUAUUUCUUGAUUCAAUUGUUCAAUUGUUAGGUUAAUUUUUUUUUUUUUUUUUAGUCCUUGAAUUUGUCUAUUAGGGUUAAAGAUUUUGGGAAUAGUCCAUGUUUCAUGGUUCUUGUAUUUGUAACUAAUAAAAAUGGCUCGACAACAAUAUCAAUUCUGAUAAUAACAAAAUAUUUCAAAUCCAUUACAAAUAUCUACUACACAACUUGAAUUGGUAUCCCCUAACCUUUUUUUCUUUUGGGUACUUGUUAUCAACAAAAGUGACAAUAUUUGUUCUCUUUCUAUUGCUUUAUUGUAUGCAUGUUUUAUUUGUGUAAAAAUUAGUUGGAAAGUAAUUAAUAAACUCAUUUGGAUUAGUACUUCAUUUUCUUACUUUAUGUAGAUUAUUAUAUAAUUUUUGUAGGCAAAAAAAAUAUCAUAUGAUUACAUGCUAAUAAUUUUAGCUAGACCACCCAAGAAAAAUUUUCUGUAGCCACUCAUUGGAUACCAUGUGGCACUCACUCAUUGGCCCAACAUGUAUAUUACCUUAAAAUUCAUCCGAGCUAUUAUAAGAGGAAUUUAAUUUAUUUUCAUCCCAUUUCAAUUUCCUUUUAUUUUAUUCUUUUUUUUAGUUCGCGCGCCAGGCGUGAGGUUUUUUUUUCCACCAACUUCGGGUCCGGGUCAUUACAAAAUGGUCAAUGUGAUUGGUACGUGAUUGCUUGCUUUGGAAUCUAGUUAAGGAAAAUACGGCAGACCUUUAUGGAGAUAGAUCAUAUUAAAUUUUGUGGAAUGUUGUAUUAUUAUUCAUGUUAUUGGUUGAUUAAUGUGACUUGAUGCUAAUUGGAUAAAUGCUUCUCUUGGGUGUACUUGUGAAAUACUAUUCAUUGAACAUAUAAUGUGAUACAUGUGAAAGAUGAAAUGACAUAAUUUUUUGCAAGGCAGGUGAUAAACAGGUUGAGAUUGUGUUAGACGAGGGAUUUAAGAGCUUUAUUUUAUUUUUGUACACCUUGUAAGGGUUUUCGGAUUAUUUGAAUAAGAAAAGUUUAGUUUUUUCGUUUUAUUUUACUUUUACUCUCGCACCGGGCGCGGGGGUAAUAUUUUUCACCGACCCCGGGUUCGAGGUGAGACACAUACCUAUAUCAAUGACCAAUGAUUUUUUUUCAUGUUCGGCUCGUACAUCUUGAUUUAGUUAUAUCCGAUAUAUGCUUUCAUGAAGCUUAGCAACUCGUGUCUUAUUGUGGAAUCGAUAAACAAGUCUACUUGGGGUAAAGGAUAAAGAUCCUUGAGGCAAUCCUUGUUUAAUUCCAUGAAGUCUACACAGAUUUUUCACUUGCCAUUAUUUUUCAACACAAAGACUGCAAUUACAGAGAGAGAAUCCGUAUUAAAUAGAGAGAAUCUCAAAGUGUAUAUAGCAUAAGAUAUUGCUUCAUUUUAUUAUUGUGAUUACUUGUGAUACACGUCAAUCCUUAGAUUGUAGGAAUCUCCAAGAAUAUAGGAAACCAAAGUAAUCCACAAUCGGAUUAGACUCCUUGUCUUGCAGAAGAAGUACGGUCGAUCUCGACAAGGCCUGCAUGCCUUGCCAACCAUUCUAGAGCCCAACAAGGUGUGGUGGCACUGUUAGUCCUUUUAAACAGCUUGAUUUGAUUCUGAGCCAUUGCAUCAUUGACCAAACUUUUGAGGCAUUAGUAUUCCAAUCCGCGUCACUCUGGCAAAAAAAAAAUAAAUCUAUGGUCCCACAACUAAUAUUUAUUACUAGAUUUUCUGAUGAAUUUCACUUUGUGUAAGAAAAGUUAAUAAUAACAAAUAGUCACAAACUGGUAAUUUGAGAACAUCAUAACUUAUGGGCGCAAGCUAACACGCACCGUCAAGUUAGUGCACAAAAUCUUGCCCAACUAACGCAGCGAAAUAUACAAUAAAAGAAUGGACAAGUAUAUGUUAUUACUAACUUUCUUAUUGUACAAUCAUCGCAUGUAACUCUAAUCUAUCUAUAUCUAUACUAAUCAUUAAUAGAACUUUCUUUGUCAACCAAAUUUUUAAAAAUACUAUUAUACCCUUCCAAGUAUUACUGAAAGAAAAUAUCAAAAAAAACAAAUCAUGGGCAUUAAAGUAAUUUCACACAAAAAAUUAGGGUAUUUUUUUCUUUUCCUUGCCCACAUGUUAUCAAAGCUCUCUCUAAUUUAAAUAAAAUAAAAAAUACCCCACUCCAACUUCUCUCUUUCAUAUAUUUUUUUGCAUUUUAAAUCUUUUAUAUUUAUAUACACAUAGUGUGAUGGCUUCAUCUAAUCAUAAUAUUAUUAAGAAAACCUAGCUUGUUAACCAUUAUUGUAAGUGUAUAUUCUAAUUAUACCCCUACCCAUUACAAUAUGAAAACAAAAAUGGGUUAAUUACCCUUGAAGUUUAUCGUGUUUCACAAAGCUCUUAAACUUUGAGAAAUUACACUAAGGGCUGGUUUGGUAUUGUUGUGCUUUGAAAAAAAGCUGCUUCUGCUGUGCUGUGAGAAUAAGCAGCUGUGAAAUAAAGCAGCAAAGUGUUUGGUAAACUUUUUUUUAAAAGUGCUUUUGGAAAAACAAAAAAAAAAAAAAGCAGUAUGAUAGUGUUUGGUAAACUUUUAUGUAAAACAGUUGUGACUGCAUGAAAUGACAAAAAAGGUAUAAUACUAAUGUGCUAUGACAAGCCACGAAGUUGUUUGCUGGCAACCUUUUCACCUUCGCCUUCCUCUCCCUCCUCAUCUUCUCAUUCCGCACGGUCGUCGAAAAUGGGACCCACCUCCUCACCUCCUUCGUCGACUGCGACCCUUCUCUCAAAUCCCUCAUCUCCUGCCUCGACCUCGCUGGAACCGGCAAUACCAACCAUCACUCUCCCAAAUCUCCAGCCAAAUCCCCUUCUCCGAUCUCUCCCCGCCACCGACACUGCCCAUUUCUUCACCUCACCCGCAUCGGAACCUUAGACGAUGAUUUCUUCUCCGGCAAUGACGACGACGCUCGCUCCCUCUUCGCUCCAAUCCUCAUUUUCUCCUCCUCUUCCUCUCACUCCACCUCCAAAUUAGGGUUUAUUGGAACUUACGGGACUAGGGUUUCUGAAAUUGUGCGCUCUAGCCUCACGUUCAAGACUGAGAAAUUCAUCAUUUCUAAUGACAUAGCUAGAGGUAGAGAUGGUGACGGAGAAAGCAAUGAAGGGGAGGAGAAAGGCGGCGAUGAAGAAAUGGACGAUCGGGUCGUCGAUUUGCAAUUCUUGAUCAACGGAUUGGAGCUGGGUCGCCGGGACAUGGCAACGUUGUUCUUCCUCCUGAAAGUGUGAGGAAUCAGGAGAAACUUUGAAAAUAAGCCACUUUUUGAAGCUGCUUUUUGCAGCUUCCACUUUUUAGCUUUUUUUCAUCUGAAACUUCGAAGAAAAAAAAAAACUAGUUUGGGGUGUUUACCAAGCACCAAAAACUCUCCUAGCUUUUUUUCAUACCAACUUUUUUUUAAAUCACCUCAACCCCAAACCAUACCUAACACCCACUAAAGUUUUAAAUUACUUUCACAUCAUUCCAAAAAGAUGAAGGGGUCAUUUGGAAGUGCUUUGAAAAUGGAUGAAUGUGUUUUUGGAACCAAUCCUUAGUAAAAAUGCAAGUGAAUCCUAGAAAAACACUUAAAGUGCUUCCUCCAAAAAGCACACAUAAUGUAGUGCUUCGUGCAAGACGUGCACCUAACUAGUGUUUCUUCCAUGAAGCACUAAAAUGCUUUUAGAACCCAAAAACAUUUUGUUUAAAUCACUUUCAGUUAUUUUAAAAACACAUCCAAACGAAUGCUUCAUAAAUUAAAAAAAAAUCAAAUUUAAGAAUUGCAAUGAAUAUUAAAAUGAAAAGAAGAACGUAUGUAUUGUUGUCCCUAGUUCCCUCAACCCUCAAAAUAUUGCAUACACCAAAAGUCUCUCUAUCUCUCUCCCCCUCUUCAAUUCGUACUUGAGAGGUGAUGUGAAAGUAGAUUGGAAUUUCAUAGUGUAAUUCUCAAACCUAUGAGGGAUUAUAUAAAACACGAUAAACCUUAAGGAAUUUUAGUGAAAUUAACCAAACUAAAAUUAAUAAAAUGGUAUAAAAUUGUAAUGUACAUAUCUUUAAAAGCCAAAAAAAUAAAAAAAAAUAAAAAAUAUGGGAGAUUUAAUGCUUCAGGCUCCUACAUAUAGAAUACUUCGGGCAUUUGAACCACUACAUCUUGAAUUUCGUACUUUUGAACAAAAAGAUAUCUACCUAAAAAUCCUGAUAUUUCCAAAUUCCAGAGCACUAUAUAAAAUCAAAUAUAUACCUUCGUCUUCAUACUAGCGUAGAUUAGUAGUUGACCAUUUUUUUUGGGUAAAACCUAAAUGUCAAUCUCACUCCAACAUUACUAUCAUGAGAAAGUGACAAAGAUGUAACUUUAUUUUAUUUUUUAUUUUUUUAAACAAACGAUAUUAUCAACACUAAGGGAGGGGGGAGUGUCAUAAGCCUCACAAUGACCCAAUGGUGAGUUAUUUUAUUUUAUUUUUUUUACUUUUUAUUUUUUAUUUUUCAUUUUUAGGUAAACUUUUGUUGCUAUCCUAUUCGUUAUUUCUUGACGACAUACAGCCUUUUUAGUGACCCAAUGGUGAGUCAUUUGGCACUCUAUGGAUGGAGCCCUAUCAUGCAGAAAAAUUUGUGGCAGCUUAUCUUCUCUUUUCCUGUGAUGUGCAUGCUUAGAAUUUAUUCUCUGCUCUCAUAGACUCUGAUCAUUUUUCAAAGGUCUAGCACGCACUUGGGUUUCACUACUCAAUGAGUAUCUUAGUCACGAGACUCCUACCACCACAAGAAGAUUGUCAUCAUACAAUUUAUAUAUGUAUAGGCUUCCAGACAAAAAGGAUAUGUAAACAAAUUUUUAUAAGAUGACAAUCUUCUUGUUCAGUAGCAAUACAGUGCUUCCUAACCCUAGUUUUGGGGAGCGGCCUCUAGGUAGAAGCUCAUUGGUGUACCUCUGGGAUGAAAAUUUUGAAAUAGUAAACUACAGUUUACAGACCAAUCAUUCGAAUUGCUCACAAACUCUUUCAAGAAAGAAAAACAAAAACAAAAACAAAAAGUAAAGGCCGUUGUGGGUUGUUAUCGGGUUACCAUUAAAAUCCGUUUGAUUUGAUUUAAACAUAAGAUGGUGGCAAUUGGUUGUGGUUAUGAUGGUGUUAUACUUUAUUAUGGUGAAAUCAAACUAAAAAGCAAAGUCCAUGGUAGGUUCAUGUAGGGUUGAUCUCGACAAAGCCUAUGACUUGUUAGCUAGAUUGCUUUACCUCCAGAAAGGCUAUGUACAGAAACAAUCAACAUAGCUUAAAUAAUCAUGUACCAUGAAUGAAAUGGUGAAUGUUUAUGAUACCUCAGAUGAUUAGAGGAAAAAAAUGGAGGUAUAUAUAGCGUGUGCACUGUAGAGAAAUGUGGUUAAGUUAGAAUUUAUGAGUUAUGAAAGGUAUAUUAGUACUUUCGUUUUGGUCUAAGUUAAUUAUAGUUAGCAAGCUUAUAUUGUUUUUAGAAACAUAUUAGCAAAUAUGAACAAAAAUAUUUGGUUACCAAUCAUAUUCAGCCAGCUCAUGCUCAUGAGCAACAUGGUUAUAGUUUUGAGUAAUGCUAGGUAGAUCAAAUUUUUAGACUACAUUUGUAAAUCAUGUGGUGUGUCACCGAUGGGAAAUAAGCAUGUUAAUCAAUAGUUAAGUAGUAAUUCAAUCAUCAACAAUCAUGUCGUAUAGUUUUCAAAAUAUAGUUUAAUAGAUGGUAUCCCUAGCAUUUUCUUUUUUAAAUCUCGCCCAAUUGAUCUAACUUUCUAAUGAUGUCUUUAAUAAGAUCCCAAUUUGGAGCCAAAGGUUUUCUGCCAUAAAAGUUGUUGACCCUAACAACUACCAUGCCUACGUGGCGCGCAGGUUGAACAACUAAUAAGCUAAUUACGUCAUUCUAGUGAAUGCGGGCGUGCCAACUCCAACCGAGCUCGGUUGGCAAUUUGAAUGAAUGUGGUGGUGGUGUCGAACAGUCUUUUGACUUUUGUAUUCAAGCAAUCAUGACUGAGGAAGGAACAUUUCUCGGCCUCUGGGUUCUAGAGUAUGAAGACAAGUUGUUAGUCACUGUGAAGUUCAGGAUCUUCAACACCAGGUUCAGAUGCCUCAACUAUAUUUGUGAAAAUAUAGGUGGGCAGAAUUGGUAUCAAAUUGUAAGAACACAAGUACUUGAAAGAAAUUAGUGUUUUGAUCGUAAAUGUUGUUCGACUAUUAUAAUGCCGAACUUGAAAUGCAACUGGGAAUAACCAAUCAUAGACAGGCUCAACUUUCAAUGUGCCAAACACUAUGUACCUGGCCAAGAGGGCUAAUGAGUUGACCUCUUUCAAUAAGAAGAAUGAACGCUCCUUACUGAUAGAGACUUAGAUAGAUAACCAGUCAAACUCAAAGCAGUACUAUUACUCCAAAUUAAAGAUGCUCCUUGAUCACCUGAUUCUACGACUCUAGUGUUGUUAGUCCAAACUGAAUAUGUCGCCAGUUGUCAACACAGUGUCGUUAAUCCAAACUGAACAUAUGUUGAUGAAGUUAAGGAAGUUAGUGGUUUCUCAGUAUGUAAACAUUACUAUUCGAAUUGAUGACUAAACUUUAUCUUGUCAAUAAAUAUAACAUUUUAAACACUUACGAAUCACACAAUUAAAAUUGUGUCUUCAAUAAAAAAAGAGCAUCUCUCCAAAAGAAAGUAAUACUCUCCUUUAUUUUAUUUUAUUUUAUUCAUCCAGAUGCUCUCCUCUUUUUCUAAAAAACCGUUGAAUGAAAAGUGACUAUUUAUUUGUGUGAUGCAAAGGGAUGAGUGGCAUUAUAUUAUACAUUAAAAAAAAAAUUCUAAUUUCAAGGACUGAUGGUUGGCAUGGCUUGUCAACCAAGAUUUGAAUCUUGUGGUGCUAAAGAGAGAAAGUCAAACUAAACCUUUCUUUGCUUGCCUUUUUGCAUAUCUUUAUGCGAUUAAGACUAAAUGACCCAUUUGUCUCAAUGUAUGUUUGAAUAAAAAAGAGUUGAUUGCUAAUAUUAUUAUGGAAACUUUGACGAAAACCUUUCGGUACUGUUCAUUUUAACGAAAAAUCAUAUUUUUACAUUAAAAAGUCAAUUCUGGUACUAUUCACUUUACCCUUUAUUUUGUCCUUAUCGUUAAAACUCAAAAUUUUCAAACCAUUUUCAUUAGUUUUUCUUAUUAUAUAUUGUCUUCGUUAAAAGUACAAGAUGUAUUAGUCAUAAAAAAUAUUCUUCUCUUUUGAUUUGAUAGGAUUGAAAGGAAUGAGAACUGAUCAAGAAUAAUCAUAUCGAUAGGUAUUAAACUAUUUUAUAGACAUUUCAUUUAUAAAUAAUAUUACUGAAAAUAAUAAAAGAAUUAACUACCUAUUUAUUCCUUGAAAUUUGCUUACCUUUCGAUUUUCCCCUAAAUUUUUCAAUCGGCAAAUUAAAGACUUCAACUAAUUUUUUUUGUGAUUUCCUCCUAGUGUAAGUUUUUCAUUCAUUCCAUCCAAAUUUAUAUUAAAUGAAAGCAUAUGCACAACAUGUAAGAGUAGUUCAGUCGAUUCAUUCUCUAAAAUAAUUGAAAACCCUAUAUUUCCAAAAUGUCAACAUGUGCAAAUCUGUGUAAUUCUAUAGCUUUUGUGCCUGAAGGUCUAGCAAGGCGACACUUUUUGUACUCAAAGGAGAGUCACGUGAUUUGCAUGCGAUAAGAAUUAAUGUUAAAUUGAUUGCAAUCUGUGGACAACUAACGGUAGGGGGAAAUCGGCAAAAAAAAAUUAGUUUAAGUCCCUGAUUUUUCAAAUAAAAAGUUUAAAAAAGAAAUUAAAGCCAAGUGAAAGUUCACGAGAAAAAUUAACAAUUUACUCAUGAAAAUGCAAAACUUAAAAGCUAAAGGGCAUUACCACUUCGUCCAAAAAGAAGGAAUCUGGAUCUUCAUCAGAUUCUCUCUGUGAGGAUCCCUGAGAUCUGUGAAUCGGGUUCAUUCAUUGUACAUCGUGUAAUUAGAAAUUAUUUUAAAUAUUUUUAUUUAAAAUUAAACAUAAAUAGUACUGAACAAAAAUUGAUGACAUGAUAUAUGAUGAAUGAACACGAUUCAUGAAUCUCUAUGAUUUUCAUCAAAAGAAUCCGGAGAUGAUCCUGUUGGAAAAAGAAGGGUGCACCACUUCAAAAGCAUCAAAAUCCAACAUGCGACAUGAAAAUUGGAAUCAGGGUGUCCCACUUGACAUGCUUAGCCAAAAGAAGGGUGCACCACUUCAAAAGCAUUGGAAUUCAAAAAAGCAUCAAAAUCCAACAUACAUGGAAAUUGGAUUCACAUGCUUAGUCAAAACAUGCGCCUGAAAUUAAGUGAUUUUUUUUUUCUGAACUAAUGAUAUUAUAUAGACAAAGUAGAUGGAGAUGGGUUUAGUUUUACAAUAGAUUAGCAAUAAAAUGGUUCAAAUUCACUUUUAGCAAGUAUUGAAUCUAAGACCUCUAACUUACUAAUGAAGAGGAAUAUCAUUAAAUUGUUAUACUAAGUGGUAAUUUUUUGUUAAUUUGAAAUUAAACAAACCGUAAAAGUCUAAGGCCUCGUUUGUUAAAUAGAAUAAGUAAUGAACUAAGUUAAGGAUAAUUAGAUAAGAGAUAAUCCUACCAUAAUCUCAUCAUCAUGUUUGUUUUUGAUAGCCAAUCAAACCGCUUCGAACUUGCCACUUCAAACCCAAGAUUUGACGCUUAAGACACAUCAUAGUGCAAGGGCAAUAAUGUUAAUUGAAGGUUGAGAAAUGCUACUGAAACUCUCUCAAAGUAUGGCUCUUUAUGAAUAUUUUAUUAUAGUUUAACAUCAAUUUAUGUGUCGACUUCGAAUUGUUGUUUUUUUCCUCGAACCUACAGUUGUUUGCGUCACCUAGUCUGUCUAAGCGAUCUCCGUCAUGUGAGUCUUGCGCACUACGUUAGCCUCCUCUCCAGGAAAAUUCCACUUUGACAUUUCAUUCCCUCUUUCUCUCUCUGCACUCUCGUACUUCCACUCCACCCCCCCCACAAAAAUAUAUAACAACACACAAAAAUCUUCCUCCAAUAACAAAACUCAAACCCCUUUUCCCAGAAUUUCAGAACCCCUGAGAAAAAAGCUCCAGAAAUCAUGGAGUUUUUUGGUUCAUCAACCACGGUACUCUCUCAACCUUCUUCUCACACUACUCAUCACUGAUGCAUCCAGUUACCGAUUUUCUGCUCAAACCGGUUUUUAUACAUGGGUUUUCUGGUUCAUUACACAUAGUGUUGGUAUUUGUGUUGUUCUUCUCUUGGUUGUGGAGGAAAUUCAAGGGGGGUGAUGGAGGAGGAGGAGAGGCUCCGAAACAGAGGUUUUCGAAUAGCCGAAAUUCGUACUACAAGCAGGCUUUAAUUUGUACUUUCUGUGUUUCUGGGUUUAGUCUGGUUUUUUGUUUAUUGAACUACUUUUGUUGGUACAAAAAUGGUUGGUCUGAUGAAAAAGUAGUGACCCUUUUGGAUUUAGCUGUUAGAACACUCUCUUGGGGUGCAGUUUGUGUUUAUUUGCAUACCCAAUUCUCCAAUUCUGAUGAAUCCAUUAAGUUCCCAAACUUUUUGAGAGUUUGGUGGGGUUUCUAUUUCUCUAUUUCUUGCUAUUCCCUUGUCAUUGACAUUGUUCUUCACAAGGAUCGUGUUUCGUUGCCUGUUAAAUCUUUGAUUUUCGAUGGUGUCUGUGUUGUUUCGGGUUUGUUUUUCAUGUAUGUGGGGUUUUUAGGGAAGAAAGAGGACAGAGAUUCUGUUCUUGAAGAACCCUUUUUAAACGGUAAUCGUAGUACUAGUGUAGGUAAUGAUGGAGAGUCAAAUAAGUCGAGAGGGGGAACAAAUGUUAACCCUUAUUCGAACGCUGGAAUUUUCAGCAUUCUUACUUUUGCUUGGAUGGGUCCUCUAAUUGCGGCUGGCAAUAAGAAGGCGUUAGACCUUGAGGAUGUUCCUGAACUAGAUAAGGUUGACAGUGUAUUUGGGUCCUAUCCUCGUUUUAAAAGUAAGCUCGAUGUGAGGUGUGGUUGGAACGGCAGAGUUACCACACUUCAUCUGGUGAAGGCACUAAUCUUCUCAUCCUGGAAAGAGAUUCUCAUGACUGCUUCAUUUGGGAUUUUUUACACAUUGGCUUCUUAUGUCGCUCCAUAUUUGAUCGACACACUAGUUCAAUACCUCUACGGGCGACGGCAGUUCAAAAAUGAAGGCUAUGUUUUGGUUUCUACAUUUUUGUUUGCAAAGCUCGUGGAAUGCCUCACUCAAAGGCACUGGUUCUUUAAGACGCAACAGGUAGGAGUAAGAAUCCGUGCAGUACUUGUUACAGCCAUCUAUAACAAGGGUUUGACCUUGUCAUGCCAGUCCAAGCAGGGCCACACAAGCGGUGAGAUUAUCAAUUUUAUGACUGUCGACGCUGAGAGGAUCAGUGACUUCACUUGGUAUAUGCACGAACCAUGGAUGAUCCUUGUACAAGUUGGCUUGGCCCUAGUGAUUUUGUACAUAAAUCUUGGUCUUGCGGCUAUCGCAACAUUGAUUGCAACGAUAAUUGUUAUGUUGGCAAAUGUUCCUUUGGGGUCCUUGCAGGAGAAGUUUCAAGAGAAGUUAAUGAAGUCAAAAGAUAAAAGGAUGAAGGCAACAUCUGAGAUCUUGAGGAACAUGAGAAUUCUCAAGCUUCAAGCAUGGGAGAUGAAGUUUUUGUCUAAAAUUAAUGAGCUCCGGAAGUCAGAGGCAGGAUGGUUACGAAAGUUCGUUUACACUUGGGCCAUGACCUCAUUUGUCUUCUGGGGCACCCCCAUAUUUGUGUCCGUGGUCACUUUUGUUGCUUGCAUGCUUUUGGGAAUCCCACUUGAAUCUGGGAAGAUCUUAUCUGCACUUGCAACGUUCAGAAUUCUUCAACAGCCUAUUGACAGUCUUCCGGACACAAUUUCGAUGAUAGCACAAACUAAGGUAUCUCUUGAUAGAAUUGCAUCAUUCCUUUGUCUUGAUGACUUGCAGCCAGAUGUUAUAGAGAACAUCCCAAGAGGUAGUUCUGAUACAGCAGUUGAGAUAGUCGAUGGGAAUUUCUCUUGGGAUUUAUCUUCCCCUAAUCCAACAUUGAAGGAUAUAAAUUUCAAAGUGAGCCGUGGUAUGAGAGUUGCUGUUUGUGGUACUGUUGGCUCAGGCAAGUCGAGCUUACUUUCUUGCAUUCUGGGAGAAGUUCCGAAGAUAUCUGGGACUCUUAAGUUGUGUGGGACCAAGGCCUAUGUUUCUCAAUCACCAUGGAUACAGAGUGGAAAGAUAGAAGAAAACAUAUUGUUUGGUAAACAGAUGGACAAAGAAGGUUAUGACAGGGUUCUAGAAGCAUGUUCGUUAAAGAAGGAC
RNAcentral lists this long non-coding RNA (38678 nucleotides) under Malus domestica (apple). RNAcentral describes it as "long non-coding RNA (MDOM_LNC010683)". Lineage: Eukaryota; Viridiplantae; Streptophyta; Magnoliopsida; Rosales; Rosaceae. The record is from RNAcentral.